Molecule: ribosomal RNA, 669 nt
Filed under: Triticum aestivum (bread wheat)
Lineage: Eukaryota; Viridiplantae; Streptophyta; Magnoliopsida; Poales; Poaceae
Description: partial small subunit ribosomal RNA
Source: RNAcentral
AUGCCUAUGGGUUUAUCGGAAGCACCGGAUACUUUCAUGCGUCUUAUGAAUUAUGUGUUUCAUCCUUACAUUGGUGAGUUUGUUGUGGUCUACUUCAACGAUAUCCUUGUUUAUAGCAAAUCUGUCAAAGAUCAUGUCACCCAUGCUCAAACCGUUUUGCAAACUCUUCAAAAAGAGCGUCUCUAUGCUAACAUGGAAAAAUGCCUUUUUGGCGUUGAUAAGCUCGUUUUCUUGGGUUUUGUUGUAUCCCCUAAGGGUGUUCAUAUUGAUGACUCUAAGAUCAAUGCUAUUAAAACUUGGCCACAACCAACCAACUUGCAUCAAGUGCGUAGCUUCCUUGGUUUAGCCGGUUUCUACCGCAGAUUUGUGAAGGACUUUAGUACCAUUGCUUCACCUUUGCAUGCUUUGAGCAAGAAGAAUGCACCCUUUGUUUGGGGACCAUCCCAAGGUACCGCAUUCAAUGAGCUUAAAAAUUUGCUUACUCAUGCUCCUGUGCUUGCAUUACCCAACUUUGACAAACCCUUUGAAAUUCAUUGUGAUGCUAGUGGUAAUGGCAUAGGAGGUGUGUUAACGCAAAAGAAGCACCCCAUAGCUUAUUUUAGUGAGAAACUUUCCAGAACGCAACUCCAUUACCCCAUCUAUGACAAAGAGUUAUAUGCUUUAGUGUGA